Molecule: unclassified non-coding RNA, 344 nt
Filed under: soil metagenome
Description: partial contains 5.8S ribosomal RNA, internal transcribed spacer 2, and large subunit ribosomal RNA
Rfam family: 5.8S ribosomal RNA (bases 2-119)
Source: RNAcentral
GUGAAGAACGUAGCGAAAUGCGAUAAGUAAUGUGAAUUGCAGAAUUCCGUGAAUCAUCGAGUCUUUGAACGCACAUUGCGCCCCCUGGUAUUCCGGGGGGCAUGCCUGUCCGAGCGUCAUUGCUGCCCUCAAGCACGGCUUGUGUGUUGGGCCUCCGUCCUCCUCCCGGGGGACGGGCCCGAAAGGCAGCGGCGGCACCGCGUCCGGUCCUCGAGCGUAUGGGGCUUCGUCACCCGCUCUUGUAGGCCCGGCCGGCGCUUGCCGACACAUCAAUCUUUUUUCCAGGUUGACCUCGGAUCAGGUAGGGAUACCCGCUGAACUUAAGCAUAUCAAUAAGCGGAGGA